RNAcentral lists this ribosomal RNA (253 nucleotides) under uncultured bacterium. RNAcentral describes it as "partial 16S ribosomal RNA". It matches the Rfam family "Bacterial small subunit ribosomal RNA", at positions 524 to 776 of the family's 1533-position model. The record is from RNAcentral.
UACGUAGGGGGCAAGCGUUGUCCGGAAUCAUUGGGCGUAAAGGGCUCGUAGGCGGUCCGUCACGUCGGGAGUGAAAACUCGGGGCUCAACCCCGAGCCUGCUUUCGAUACGGGCGGACUAGAGGUAGGUAGGGGAGAACGGAAUUCCUGGUGUAGCGGUGGAAUGCGCAGAUAUCAGGAGGAACACCGGUGGCGAAGGCGGUUCUCUGGGCAUUACCUGACGCUGAGGAGCGAAAGCAUGGGGAGCGAACAGG